RNAcentral lists this transfer RNA (19 nucleotides) under Turnera pinifolia. Its description in RNAcentral is "partial tRNA-Thr". Lineage: Eukaryota; Viridiplantae; Streptophyta; Magnoliopsida; Malpighiales; Passifloraceae. The record is from RNAcentral.
AACCUUUGAGGUAAGCGGG